UCUAUUGGGUGGAGAUAAGCUAUCAGCUGCUGGAGACGGUGAUGGAGCAUUCAAGGAGCAGCUCGUUAGAGGUGUCCCACAUAAACGAGAGUUUCCCACGAAUGAUGAAAGUGGAAACUUCUGGAGGGAGUUUGGAACUGAGCCAUUUAGCAUGUUGUAACUCAAAUUGAAGUGGUUCAACCUGAGGGUGUCAAGACCAUUUAGCAUGUUGUAACUCAAAUUCAAGUGGUUUAACCUGAGGGCGUCAAGGCUGGGGAUUUCUCCUGUCAAUGAAUUGAACUGUAGGUUCAACACAGAUAAUCGCGACAAGCUCUUGAUCGUGGUGGGAAUUUU
Molecule: long non-coding RNA, 333 nt
Filed under: Nicotiana benthamiana
Lineage: Eukaryota; Viridiplantae; Streptophyta; Magnoliopsida; Solanales; Solanaceae
Description: long non-coding RNA (NBEN_LNC010286)
Source: RNAcentral